This 445-nucleotide ribosomal RNA is filed under the name uncultured bacterium. RNAcentral describes it as "SSU rRNA". It matches the Rfam family "Bacterial small subunit ribosomal RNA", at positions 26 to 518 of the family's 1533-position model. The record is from RNAcentral.
AGAACGAACGCUGGCGGCAUGCCUAACACAUGCAAGUCGAACGAGACCUUCGGGUCUAGUGGCGCACGGGUGCGUAACGCGUGGGAAUCUGCCCUAGGGUACGGAAUAACAGUGAGAAAUUACUGCUAAUACCGUAUGAUGACGUAAGUCCAAAGAUUUAUCGCCCUGGGAUGAGCCCGCGUAGGAUUAGCCUGUUGGUGAGGUAAAGGCUCACCAAGGCGACGAUCCUUAGCUGGUCUGAGAGGAUGAUCAGCCACACUGGGACUGAGACACGGCCCAGACUCCUACGGGAGGCAGCAGUGGGGAAUAUUGGACAAUGGGCGAAAGCCUGAUCCAGCAAUGCCGCGUGAGUGAUGAAGGCCCUAGGGUUGUAAAGCUCUUUUACCCGGGAUGAUAAUGACAGUACCGGGAGAAUAAGCCCCGGCUAACUCGUGCCAGCAGCCGC